This is a long non-coding RNA of Sciurus carolinensis (gray squirrel), 532 nucleotides long. RefSeq lists it as uncharacterized. The record is from RefSeq and is a predicted model, not a curated record. The transcript is spliced from 3 exons. NCBI's taxonomy places the organism in Eukaryota, Metazoa, Chordata, Mammalia, Rodentia, Sciuridae.
GGACCAGCCUGGAUUGCAGGUUCAGCCAGGAGAACUCUCAUGGUGUCCUGGCUGCCGUGCCGAACAUGGACAGGCUGAUCCAAUUUCUUUGAGAGGUGACAUCUUCCAUCAAAGUGCAGGGUCUUGCUGAGUUGCUGUGGCUGGCCUUGAACUUGCAAUCCUCCUGCCUCAGCCUCCUGAGUUGCUGGGAUUCCAGGCCUGUGACGGCCCCCUCCCAUUCCUUAGCACAAAGCUGAGGGUGAACCUGGCUCCCAAAGCCACCCCCAUUCCUAGGUCUCCCAGUCGUCCACUGGGGAGAGGCUCUGGCUUCCUGCCAGCUGUGUUCUUGUCACCAGUGGGGAUUUCAGUGAAACAGAAAGCAGCCAGUGUCUUCCACCCCAUGUCCUUGUGGUGUCCCAGAGCAGCAGGAGCAGAGAAAGCUGCGGUGAGGCGAGCUGCUUUCUCUGCCAAGUGUUCCUGCCAUGAUGUACAGCGCCGCCACAGGCCCAAAGCAACAGGGCCAAGCAACCACCAUGCAAACUCUGAAACCAUG